GACGAACGCUGGCGGCGUGCUUAACACAUGCAAGUCGAACGAGUGGCGAACGGGUGAGUAAUACGAGAGUAAGCUGCCCUCUUUUUGGGAUAAGCUUUGGCAACGGGGUCUAAUCCAGAAUAAAGGGGGAUGGGCUGGCGGCCUAUCGGCUUGUUGGUGGGGUGAUGGCGUACGAAGGCGGUGACGGGUAGCCGGCCUGAGAGGGUACACGGGCACAUUGGGACUGCGAAAAGGCCCAGAGGCCGACGCGAGGCAGCAGUGGGGGAUAUUGCCGAAUGGGCGAAAGCCUGAUGCCGCGUCACCGAGGAGGGGUUUCGGGCUUUAAGGUUGUAUUGCUCUUUCGCUAUCGAACGGUAGGUGACGAGGAAGCCCCGGCUAACUACGUGCCAGCAGCCGCGGUAAUAC
This 405-nucleotide ribosomal RNA is filed under the name uncultured bacterium. RNAcentral describes it as "partial 16S ribosomal RNA". It matches the Rfam family "Bacterial small subunit ribosomal RNA", at positions 28 to 526 of the family's 1533-position model. The record is from RNAcentral.